AACGCGAAGAACCUUACCUGGGCUUGACAUGCUUUUGACAGCUGUAGAAAUAUAGUCUUCUUGGUUUCGGCUAAGACAAUUGCACAGGUGCUGCAUGGCUGUCGUCAGCUCGUGUCGUGAGAUGUUAGGUUAAGUCCUCUAACGAGCGCAACCCUUGCUAUCAGUUGCUAUUUGCUUUCGGGCAAAGCACUCUGAUGGGACUGCCUGGGAAACCAGGAGGAAGGUGGGGACGACGUCAAGUCAUCAUGGUCCUUAUGCCCAGGGCUACACACGUGUUACAAUGGCUGAUACAAAGGGUCGCGAGCUCGUAAGGGUGAGCCAAUCCCUCAAAAUCAGUCUAAGUUCGGAUUGAGGUCUGCAAUUCGACCUCAUGAAGUUGAAAUCGCUAGUAAUCGCGUAUCAGUAACGGCGCGGUGAAUACGUUCCCGGGCCUUGUACACACCGCGUGUCU
This 451-nucleotide ribosomal RNA is filed under the name uncultured bacterium. RNAcentral describes it as "bacterial SSU rRNA". It matches the Rfam family "Bacterial small subunit ribosomal RNA", at positions 958 to 1399 of the family's 1533-position model. The record is from RNAcentral.